UACGAAGGGGGCUAGCGUUGCUCGGAAUCACUGGGCGUAAAGCGCACGUAGGCGGAUUGCUAGUCAGGGGUGAAAUCCUGGAGCUCAACUCCAAACUGCCUUUGAUACUGGCGAUCUUGAGUCCGGGAGAGGUGAGUGGAACUGCGGAGUGUAGAGGUGAAAAUUCGUAGAUAUUCGCAAGAACACCAGUGGCGAAGGCGGCUCAGUGGCCCGUACUGACGCUGAGGUGCGAAGCGAGGGAGCAACUGGG
RNAcentral lists this ribosomal RNA (250 nucleotides) under uncultured bacterium. RNAcentral describes it as "partial 16S ribosomal RNA". It matches the Rfam family "Bacterial small subunit ribosomal RNA", at positions 524 to 776 of the family's 1533-position model. The record is from RNAcentral.